GUGGGGUAACGGCCUACCAAGGCGAUGACGGGUAGCGGGUCUGAGAGGAUGAUCCGUCACACUGGGACUGAGACACCGCCCAGACUCCUACGGGAGGCUGCAGUCGAGAAUCUUCCGCAAUGGGCGAAAGCCUGACGGAGCGACACCGCGUGCAGGAUGAAGGCCUUCGGGUUGUAAACUGCUGUCACGCUAUAGGAGACCACGGGGGUGAAUAGUCUCCGUGUUGACCAAAGCGAGAGGAAGUGCCGGCUAACUCCGUGCCAGCAGCCGCGGUAAGACGGAGGGCGCAAACGUUGUUCGGAAUCACUGGGCAUAAAGAGCACGUAGGCGGCUCGUUAAGUCGGAUGUGAAAGCCCCCGGCCCAACCGGGGAACUGCAUUCGAUACUGGCGGGCUAGAGGACGGUAGGGGUAAGUGGAACUCCAGGUGGAACGGUGAAAUGUGUAGAUAUCUGGAGGAACACCGGUGGCGAAAGCGGCUUACUGGACCGUAUCUGACGCUGAGGUGCGAAAGCUAGGGUAGCGAACGGGAUUAGAUACCCCGGUAGUCCUAGCCGUAAACGAUGGGCACUAGGCAAUGGGCCACCCUAUGGGGCUCAUUGCCGUAGCUAAUGUGUUAAGUG
This 621-nucleotide ribosomal RNA is filed under the name uncultured Actinobacteridae bacterium. RNAcentral's name for it is "bacterial SSU rRNA". It matches the Rfam family "Bacterial small subunit ribosomal RNA", at positions 252 to 866 of the family's 1533-position model. The record is from RNAcentral. Lineage: Bacteria; Bacillati; Actinomycetota; Actinomycetes.